Molecule: ribosomal RNA, 401 nt
Filed under: uncultured bacterium
Lineage: Bacteria
Description: bacterial SSU rRNA
Rfam family: Bacterial small subunit ribosomal RNA
Source: RNAcentral
AGCGAACGCUGGCGGUAUGCUUAACACAUGCAAGUCGAGCGCGAAAGUGACUUCGGUCAUGAGUAGAGCGGCGGACGGGUGAGUAACACGUGGAUAAUCUGCCUUUAGGACUGGGAUAACCCUGGGAAACUAGGGCUAAUACCGGAUAAGACCACAGGUUCCAUGGAACCAGGGGUAAAAGGCGGCCUUCGGGCUGUCGCCGAAAGAUGAGUCCGCGUCCCAUCAGGUAGUUGGUGAGGUAACGGCUCACCAAGCCGAAGACGGGUAGCCGACCUUAGCGGGUGAUCGGCCACACGGGGACUGAGACACGGCCCCGACUCCUACGGGAGGCAGCAGUGGGGAAUCUUGGGCAAUGGGCGCAAGCCUGACCCAGCAAUACCGCGUGAGGGAUGAAGGCCUUC